AACCCCUCCUACGGACGCGUCAAAAUACAGACGUACCGCGGGCCCAGCAAGGGUCACGGCUACGACGUGUUCGCGCCCUGGGGCUAUUACGUCACGCAGCCCGAGGAUGAUAAGGGCUACGGUUACCACUGAGCCGCGGACGUCAUGACGUCAGAGCAGGAUAAGAUGAUGUGCCCACUAGUCUUUUCAUCAGCCGGGCUCUUCCGCGAUCCGAAGUCACCCCCGGCCUCUAGGCCGACGUGACCUUGUGCGAACCUUGGGCGACCCCUGCU
Pollicipes pollicipes is the source of this 272-nucleotide long non-coding RNA. RefSeq lists it as uncharacterized. The transcript is spliced from 3 exons. The record is from RefSeq and is a predicted model, not a curated record. Lineage: Eukaryota; Metazoa; Arthropoda; Thecostraca; Pollicipedomorpha; Pollicipedidae.